UACAGAGGUCCCAAGCGUUGUUCGGAUUCACUGGGCGUAAAGGGUGCGUAGGCGGUCGGGUAAGUCUGGCGUGAAAUCUCCAAGCCUAACUUGGAAACUGCGUUGGAUACUAUCCGGCUCGAGGAAUGGAGGGGAGACUGGAAUACCUGGUGUAGCAGUGAAAUGCGUAGAUAUCAAGUGGAACACCAGUGGCGAAGGCGAGUCUCUGGACAUUUCCUGACGCUGAGGCACGAAAGCCAGGGGAGCAAACGGG
Molecule: ribosomal RNA, 253 nt
Filed under: uncultured bacterium
Lineage: Bacteria
Description: partial 16S ribosomal RNA
Rfam family: Bacterial small subunit ribosomal RNA
Source: RNAcentral